GGCCAAUUGGCGAAAUGGUAUCGCGUCAGAUUUCGGCGAUGAGUUGAAGUCCUCUGAAGAUUGCAGGUUCGAAUCCUGCAUUGGUCG
This is a non-coding RNA of Xylariales sp. PMI_506, 87 nucleotides long. The record is from the annotation of a GenBank genome assembly. Lineage: Eukaryota; Fungi; Ascomycota; Sordariomycetes; Xylariales.